CUGAAUGCUAGUUUUCUUACAGUUCGACUCUUCAGCCGCAGCUUAAAUAUGAAUGUUAUCAGCUGUUGAUCCAACUAGAAGUCCAUGAAUAAACAGGUGAAUGGACUGGUUCUCUACAUCCAUCCACAUUAAUUUAAUCACUCCACUUAAUAAAAGGAAUAACACACAACAAAUAAAUUGUGGAACACGAAAGAUGCCCGAUUCACCUAAAAAGACUACAGGAGGAUCCACUUAAUAUAGGAAAUAACCAAUACAAAGUCCGAAAUUUCAGUCAGCUUAUUCAGCACACUUUUUCCUAACGUUCACUAUAACGACUCGAUUACACAUCUGAAAGCUCAUCAUACCAUGGAAACUAUCCCU
This 360-nucleotide long non-coding RNA is filed under the name Nicotiana benthamiana. RNAcentral's name for it is "long non-coding RNA (NBEN_LNC022236)". The record is from RNAcentral. Lineage: Eukaryota; Viridiplantae; Streptophyta; Magnoliopsida; Solanales; Solanaceae.